UACGUAGGGGGCAAGCGUUGUCCGGAAUCAUUGGGCGUAAAGAGCGUGUAGGCGGCUCGAUAAGUCUGCUGUGAAAGUCCAGGGCUCAACCCUGGAAGGCCGGUGGAAACUGUCGGGCUAGAGUCCGGAAGAGGCGAGUGGAAUUCCCGGUGUAGCGGUGAAAUGCGCAGAUAUCGGGAGGAACACCUGCGGCGAAGGCGGGUUGCUGGGCCGACACUGACGCUGAGGCGCGAAAGCUAGGGGAGCAAACAGG
This 253-nucleotide ribosomal RNA is filed under the name uncultured bacterium. RNAcentral describes it as "partial 16S ribosomal RNA". It matches the Rfam family "Bacterial small subunit ribosomal RNA", at positions 524 to 776 of the family's 1533-position model. The record is from RNAcentral.